This is a ribosomal RNA of 1057 nucleotides. It matches the Rfam family "Bacterial small subunit ribosomal RNA", at positions 366 to 1443 of the family's 1533-position model.
UCACCAUUGGGCGAAGGCUUGAUGCAAGGACGCCGCGUGAGGGAUGACGCCUCGGUUGUUAACUCUUCAGUAGGAAGAAGCGAAGUGACGGUACUGCAGAGAAGCGCCGGCUAACUACGUGCCAGCAGCGCGUUAAUACGUAGGGCGCAGCGUUAUCCGGAUUUAUUGGGCGUAAAGAGCUCGUAGGCGGUUUGUCGCGUCUGCCGUGAAAGUCCGAGGCUCAACCUCGGAUCUGCGGUGGGUACGGGCAGACUAGAGUGAUGUAGGGGAGACUGGAAUUCCUGGUGUAGCGGUGAAAUGCGCAGAUAUCAGGAGGAACACCGAUGGCGAAGGCAGGUCUCUGGGCAUUUACUGACGCUGAGGAGCGAAAGCAUGGGGAGCGAACAGGAUUAGAUACCCUGGUAGUCCAUGCCGUAAACGUUGGGCACUAGGUGUGGGGGACAUUCCACGUUUUCCGCGCCGUAGCUAACGCAUUAAGUGCCCCGCCUGGGGAGUACGGCCGCAAGGCUAAAACUCAAAGGAAUUGACGGGGGCCCGCACAAGCGGCGGAGCAUGCGGAUUAAUUCGAUGCAACGCGAAGAACCUUACCAAGGCUUGACAUGUGCCAGACCGCUCCAGAGAUGGGGUUUCCCUUCGGGGCUGGUUCACAGGUGGUGCAUGGUUGUCGUCAGCUCGUGUCGUGAGAUGUUGGGUUAAGUCCCGCAACGAGCGCAACCCUCGUUCCAUGUUGCCAGCACGUAGUGGUGGGGACUCAUGGGAGACUGCCGGGGUCAACUCGGAGGAAGGUGGGGAUGACGUCAAAUCAUCAUGCCCCUUAUGUCUUGGGCUUCACGCAUGCUACAAUGGCCGGUACAAUGGGUUGCGAUACUGUGAGGUGGAGCUAAUCCCUAAAAGCCGGUCUCAGUUCGGAUUGGGGUCUGCAACUCGACCCCAUGAAGUCGGAGUCGCUAGUAAUCGCAGAUCAGCAACGCUGCGGUGAAUACGUUCCCGGGCCUUGUACACACCGCCCGUCAAGUCACGAAAGUUGGUAACACCCGAAGCCGAUGGCCUAACCACC